This 94-nucleotide transfer RNA is filed under the name Flavimobilis marinus. RNAcentral's name for it is "tRNA-Arg". Lineage: Bacteria; Bacillati; Actinomycetota; Actinomycetes; Micrococcales; Jonesiaceae. The record is from RNAcentral.
CCGGGUUCAGCGGGUGGUCCUCGCGCCAGCGGCGGACGAGGUCGGGGUUGGCCAGCACGGGCCGACCGACGGCGACCGCGUCGCCGUGCCCGGC